Long non-coding RNA from Cyprinus carpio (common carp), 1134 nucleotides. The record is from Ensembl. NCBI's taxonomy places the organism in Eukaryota, Metazoa, Chordata, Actinopteri, Cypriniformes, Cyprinidae.
CAACCCAAUGACAUCUGUACAUUUCUUGGAUUGUGUGGAGGACGUGACAUUGACAGGAUUAGAGAUAUGUUGCUUAAUCACAUGUCAAAAACUCUACCAGUGCCAACUAUGAAGGUAACAUUUGAGGAAAUGAUUUUGAAGUUAUUGUUUGCAUGUUCUGCACAGCUGACUAGGUUUCUCUGCUCUCUAACACAGAUGGAGACGUCCAUGCAGUGCUCUGUUUGCACAUACAUUGUGAGCACCCUGAGAGUAUCUGUUUCCCAGAGAGAGGACUCAGAGCAUCAUAACUGUCCUGCUGGAGAGUUUGUGCAAAGAGUUUCCUCCUCUGUUUCAGCCACAGUGCAAUAAGAUGGUUGAAAAAUACGUCCAGCUGUUGGUUGACAUGCUACUGAACAAUACUUCACCUAACUUCAUAUGCACUCUGCUUCAUCUUUGUGAAAUACAGGAGCAUCCCGUCAAAGCGGCCGAGGUGCUUUCUGAUUGUGAUUCCUGCCUUACAUUGGCAGUUUUGACUCGUUUGCAUCUGGGCUCCAAUGCCACCGAGCUCCAGGCUGCUUCAUUCCUGAACACUGUCUGCCAGCUGCACCCCAGUGCCAUGCCAAAGUGUGAGACUUUUGUGCAGCGUCAUGGGAAGCAGCUCAGUGUAUUUCUGAGCAAACAGCAGGGGGCGCUGGACAAUUGCAAGAAGGCAAAUUGGUGCAUUUCUGUUGAGAAGGAGCCUGUCAUUGCUGCUGACCCCUGUAGUCUCGGACCAAUCUACAGCUGCAGAGACCUCCAGACUGCUGUUGACUGUGGGGUAGUUUCAUUCUGCCAGAAGAACAUGUGGGAGUAAUCUGUUACAGCCGUCUAUUAUACAUGCGGAGUCAAAGGUUAUUUGUGUGCGUUGCAACAGUGUCUCAGCAUUAACAAUGUAGCCUAUAUGAAAAGCUGAUGGGCCUACUGGACCAACAUCACAGCAUUUUUCUUCCUCUCCUGGAUUUUCAUGGUUAUAUUUGCUUUUCGAGUUGAAAUUGAGGCUAACAAAUUCAUAGGCUUGGCUAAUAUCUUCAGCAAACAAGAUAAAAUAGAACAAACUCAUAUAAAAACAAGUUUUCUGGGGCAGCUAUUAUUUUAAUAAAAAGAAAUAGUUGCUCA